GACGAACGCUGGCGGCGUGCUUAACACAUGCAAGUCGAACGAUGAAGCAAAGAAUUGAAGCUUCGGCAGAAAUUCAUUUCGGAUUAGUGGCAGACGGGUGAGUAACGCGUGAGCAACCUACCUCUUACAAAGGGAUAGCCUCGGGAAACCGGGAUUAAUACCAUAUAACAUUGCGACGAAACAUUUCGAUGCAAUCAAAGCUACGGCGGUAAGAGAUGGGCUCGCGUCCCAUUAACCAGAUGGUGAGGUAACGGCUCACCAUAGUAACGAUGGGUAACCGGCCUGAGAGGGUGAACGGUCACACUGGAACUCAGACACGGUCCAGACUCCUACGGGAGGCAGCAGUGGGGAAUAUUGCACAAUGGAGGGAACUCUGAUGCAGCGACGCCGCGUGAGUGAUGAAGGAAUUCGUUUCGUAAAACUCUGUUCUAUGGGAAGAAAAGGACUGUACCAUAGGAGAAAGCUCCGGCUAAAUACGUG
This 480-nucleotide ribosomal RNA is filed under the name uncultured bacterium. RNAcentral's name for it is "partial 16S ribosomal RNA". It matches the Rfam family "Bacterial small subunit ribosomal RNA", at positions 28 to 507 of the family's 1533-position model. The record is from RNAcentral.